RNAcentral lists this long non-coding RNA (248 nucleotides) under Gossypium barbadense (sea-island cotton). RNAcentral's name for it is "long non-coding RNA (GBAR_LNC006411)". Lineage: Eukaryota; Viridiplantae; Streptophyta; Magnoliopsida; Malvales; Malvaceae. The record is from RNAcentral.
GAUGUAUCAGGUUCAUUUGUUGCAAUAUAAACAUUCCUUCCGUCUUCAAUCUUAUUCUGCAAGGUUGAGAUAAGGGCAUCAGGUGAAGUAUCUUGGGCAAGAUUAGGCCACAGAUCCCUGUUCCUCGCCUUCUCCCCUCUCACAAUGUGAACAGAGUCAUAAUCCCAGUUCAACUUUGACGCAAUCGCCAACACUAUAUCCAUCAACCUCCUUGAUUUCCAUAACAGAUGCCAUGGCCUUUGAACAAC